This 493-nucleotide ribosomal RNA is filed under the name uncultured bacterium. RNAcentral's name for it is "bacterial SSU rRNA". It matches the Rfam family "Bacterial small subunit ribosomal RNA", at positions 28 to 511 of the family's 1533-position model. The record is from RNAcentral.
GAUGAACGCUAGCGACAGGCUUAACACAUGCAAGUCGAGGGGCAGCAUGAGGGUUAGCAAUAACUCUUGAUGGCGACCGGCGCAAGGGUGCGUAACGCGUGAGCAACUUGCCCGUUUCUGGGGCAUAACCGGUGGAAACGCCGACUAAUUCCCCAUAGAAUUGAUUUAAGGCAUCUUUUAUCAAUUAAAGAAUUUCGGAAACGGAUAGGCUCGCGUGACAUUAGCUGGAUGGCGGGGUAACGGCCCACCAUGGCGACGAUGUCUAGGGGUUCUGAGAGGAAGGUCCCCCACACUGGAACUGAGACACGGUCCAGACUCCUACGGGAGGCAGCAGUGAGGAAUAUUGGUCAAUGGUCGAGAGACUGAACCAGCCAUGCCGCGUGAAGGUCACGGCCCUAUGGGUCUUAAACUCUUUUGCAAGGGAGCAAUAAGUCCCACGUGUGGGAUGAUGAGAGUACCUUGCGAAUAAGCAAUCGGCUAAACUCCGUGCCAG